Molecule: ribosomal RNA, 301 nt
Filed under: uncultured bacterium
Lineage: Bacteria
Description: partial 16S ribosomal RNA
Rfam family: Bacterial small subunit ribosomal RNA
Source: RNAcentral
CAGUCGCCGCGGUAACACGAAGGGGCUAGCGUUGCUCGGAAUUACUGGGCGUAAAGGGAGCGUAGGCGGAUGAAUUAGUCAGGGGUGAAAUCCCGGGGCUCAACCUCGGAACUGCCUUUGAUACUGUUCAUCUUGAGUAUGGGAGAGGUGUGUGGAACUCCGAGUGUAGAGGUGAAAUUCGUAGAUAUUCGGAAGAACACCAGUGGCGAAGGCGACACACUGGCCCAUUACUGACGCUGAGGCUCGAAAGCGUGGGGAGCAAACAGGAUUAGAUACCCCGGUAGUCCCUGUCUCUUAUACA